This 497-nucleotide ribosomal RNA is filed under the name uncultured bacterium. RNAcentral's name for it is "partial 16S ribosomal RNA". It matches the Rfam family "Bacterial small subunit ribosomal RNA", at positions 28 to 507 of the family's 1533-position model. The record is from RNAcentral.
GAUGAACGCUGGCGGCGUGCCUAAUACAUGCAAGUCGAGCGAACAGACGAGGAGCUUGCUCCUUUGACGUUAGCGGCGGACGGGUGAGUAACACGUGGGUAACCUACCUAUAAGACUGGGAUAACUUCGGGAAACCGGAGCUAAUACCGGAUAAUAUUUCGAACCGCAUGGUUCGAUAGUGAAAGAUGGCUCUGCUAUCACUUAUAGAAGGACCUGCGCCGUAUUAGCUAGUUGGUAAGGUAACGGCUUACCAAGGCAACGAUACGUAGCCGACCUGAGAGGGUGAUCGGCCACACUGGAACUGAGACACGGUCCAGACUCCUACGGGAGGCAGCAGUAGGGAAUCUUCCGCAAUGGGCGAAAGCCUGACGGAGCAACGCCGCGUGAGUGAUGAAGGUCUUCGGAUCGUAAAACUCUGUUAUUAGGGAAGAACAAACGUGUAAGUAACUGUGCACGUCUUGACGGUACCUAAUCAGAAAGCCACGGCUAACUACGUG